ACAAAAAAACAAAGUUGCUUGAGCCACACGUAACAACAUAAUGAUUACUAAACAAACCCAAAAACCACAAGAAACAACAUAGUAAUAGUACUAAACAAACCCAAAAACCAAAGUUCCUUGAGCCACACGAAACAACAUAGUGAUACUAAACAAACCCAAAAACAUAGUUCCUUGAGCCACACGUAACAACGUAAUGAUACUAAACAAACCCAAAAACAUAGUUCCUUGAGCCACACGUAACAACAUAAUGAUACUCAAAAUAGGUCUAGUUCAAGUUGUGUGAAGUACCUGGUGCGUCUCUUGGUCUCUGUGUUGAGCUUCCUCUUUCUUCCUAGCUGUGUAUCCAACCACCGUAUCAGCAGCCACUGCAGCUUUCUCCUUAGUCAAGUCCACCGCCUUAGAACCAACUUCCGCCGUCUUAUGCCCUGCGUAACCAACCGCUCCUUCCACCGUACCAGCGACCGCUUUGGUCCCUUGGACCACUUUCUCCGUCGUGAAAUGCGCCGCAGUCCACCCAACCGCAGCCGCUUUCUCGGCUGCCCCUCCAGCGUAAUGUGCAGCUCCUUUGCCUCCUUCCACCACCGUCUCCUUUGCAUACUCAGCCGCUUCUUUGCUCAUUUCCACCGCUUCACCGGCCUUUUGAACCGUGUAGUCUUUGGCUUUUGCCGUCACUGAAACCGUCUGUUCUUUGGCUUCUUGUCCUUUCUGAGCAGCAAUGUCUUUAGCUUCACCAGCUUUCUGAAACGUGUAGUCUUUGGCUCUUGCAGCCUGUUCAGCCGCAGUGUUUCCAGUGUCUCUACCUUUCUCAGUGGCAUACUGAGAAGCUCUCUGAGCUUUCUNNNNNNNNNNNNNNNNNNNNNNNNNNNNNNNNNNNNNNNNNNNNNNNNNNNNNNNNNNNNNNNNNNNNNNNNNNNNNNNNNNNNNNNNNNNNNNNNNNNNNNNNNNNNNNNNNNNNNNNNNNNNNNNNNNNNNNNNNNNNNNNNNNNNNNNNNNNNNNNNNNNNNNNNNNNNNNNNNNNNNNNNNNNNNNNNNNNNNNNNNNNNNNNNNNNNNNNNNNNNNNNNNNNNNNNNNNNNNNNNNNNNNCUUCCGAUCCAAAAAGGUAACCCAAAAUCGAAAUUUAGGGUUUUUCUCCACCCUUGAUUAGAUUUCUCCGAUUCGUUCUUAGAUUCUCUUGACCAGUUUCUGAGGUGAGAGCCCCUGUGUGUUGCGUGAUUCCUUUGGCAUUAGUGUUGUUCAUUAUUCCCCUUUCGUACUUUGUCCUCGUUGGAUUAUUCUAUUCUCACAAAGUCUCUUCCUUUUUGGGAAUUCGAUUAUGAUUAACUUGAACCCAUCUCGUGAUUUUGCAGGAUUUUUCAUAAAGGAGCAACCUUUGAAGGAUUUGAACUUUGUUUUGUUUGCUUGCUUGCUGGGUUUGUUUGAAACAUUAUGAGUGAAUCAUGGGCUGACGUGGCUGACUCAGAGAACAACACUGCCUCUGGGUCUACUACUCAAAACUCUCACAACACUGCCUCUGGGUCUACUAAACCGUCACGACCUGCUUAUGUUCCUCCACAUCUAAGGAACAAGCAACCAUCUUCCGACCCUGUUGCUCCACUACCAGCUAAUGAUCGUGUUGGCUAUAACGGUCCACCUUCUGCCUCUCGUUGGGCUCCUCCUGGAGGUAGUGGUGGUUACAGGGCUGAUGCAGGGCGUCCACGAGGAACCGGCGGUGGCUGGAACAACAGGAGUGGAGGGUGGGACCGUAGGGAGCGUGAAGUCAACCCCUUUGAGAACGCUGACGCUGAGCCGGAGCCUGCGUUUACUGAGCAGGACAACACUGGGAUUAACUUUGAUGCUUACGAAGAUAUCCCGAUUGAGACUAGUGGGGAUAACGUGCCUCCUGCUGUCAACACGUUUGCGGAGAUUGAUCUCGGGGAGGCUUUGAAUCUGAACAUCAGGAGGUGCAAGUACGUGAAGCCGACGCCGGUGCAGAGGCACGCGAUUCCUAUAUUGCUUGCGGGGAGGGACUUGAUGGCUUGUGCUCAGACGGGGUCUGGGAAGACGGCUGCGUUUUGUUUUCCGAUAAUUAGUGGGAUUAUGAAGGAUCAGCAUGUAGUGCAGAGACCUCGUGGCUCACGGACUGUUUACCCUCUUGCGGUUAUUCUCUCGCCAACAAGGGAGUUGGCAAGUCAGGUUCGUGUUCUCUUCAAACGUUAAGACACUAAUCGCUUGAUGAAAACUCAUUCUGUGAUUUUUGGCAGAUACAUGAUGAGGCUAAGAAGUUUUCUUACCAAACUGGUGUGAAGGUGGUUGUUGCUUAUGGAGGAACACCUAUUAACCAGCAGGUAUAUUAAUGUACAUUUAGUUUUCUAGUUAGCUUUAAUCUGUUUUGUUGACAUCUUGUGUUGUUUGUUUGUGCAGUUACGGGAACUUGAGCGAGGGGUUGAUAUUCUUGUGGCGACUCCUGGUAGACUAAAUGAUUUGCUCGAGAGGGCUAGAGUCUCUAUGCAGAUGAUUAGAUUCUUAGCUCUUGAUGAGGCUGAUAGGAUGCUGGACAUGGGUUUUGAGCCACAGAUUAGAAAGAUUGUGGAACAAAUGGACAUGCCUCCGCGUGGUGUUAGACAGACGCUUUUGUUUAGUGCUACUUUUCCAAGAGAGAUUCAGGUUUGGUUUACUUGUGUGUCAACUCUUAUGCUCUAUACUUCUUCCUUGCAAAUUAUAUGUGAUGGAGAGCCUUAGAUUGAUUAGGUUUGAUGCUACUGUUUCUGCUCGUAGCACUCGUUACUAGAAUGUUUCUGCUUUUGCAUAUUCAUUUGAAAAUCUGAAAAAAUUAUAUAUUUGUUUAUUGUGCAGAGACUCGCAGCUGACUUCUUAGCAAACUAUAUAUUCUUGGCUGUGGGUAGAGUAGGUUCAAGUACUGACUUAAUUGUCCAAAGGGUUGAGUUUGUCCUUGACUCUGACAAGAGAAGUCAUCUCAUGGACCUUCUUCAUGCUCAGAGAGAGAAUGGCAUGGUAAAAAUGUCACUCUUCUUUUCUUCAGCUGGUCUUGUAUGGCAGUCGUUACCAUUCUUCUGAUGACUGUUUUCUCUUCCAUAAUUACAGCAAUCCCUGACCUUAGUCUUUGUGGAGACGAAGAGGGGAGCCGACUCUCUGGAAAAUUGGCUGUGCAUCAAUGGGUUCCCAGCAACCUCCAUUCACGGUGACAGAUCACAGCAGGUUUGUUAAUCUCUUUGGUCAUCACUUUCAAGCUAGAAUUUUACUAAGCUUUGUUGUGUGUUUUAUGCAUUUGAAGGAAAGAGAAGUGGCGCUGAAGUCAUUCAAGAGCGGGAGAACACCGAUUCUGGUUGCAACGGACGUGGCAGCGCGUGGUCUCGACAUUCCCCACGUGGCUCACGUCGUGAACUUCGAUCUACCGAACGACAUUGAUGACUAUGUUCACCGUAUUGGACGAACAGGACGUGCUGGCAAAUCAGGACUAGCGACUGCCUUCUUCAACGACGGCAACACCUCGAUGGCAAGAUCUCUCUCUGAACUGAUGCAAGAAGCUAACCAAGAAGUCCCUGCAUGGCUCUCGCGGUAUGCGUCGCGUUCCUCCUUUGGUGGUGGUAAGAACAAGCGGUCUGGUGGUCGGUUUGGUGGGCGUGACUUUAGAAGGGAAGGUUCUUACAUUAGAGGAGGUGGCGGCGGUGGUGGUGGUUACUAUGGCGGUGGCGGAGGCGGCGGCUAUGGCGGUGGAUAUGGAGCUCCAAGUGGUGGAUAUGGUGGAGAAACUCCAAGUGCGUGGGACUAAGCGCUUAAUGUUUUUUUUGUUUUGUUUUGGUUAUAAACUUUUGACUAUUUAUCUGUCUUCUACAUUCCCAAAGAGAGAGUAUGUAUUGCCCCUUACACUUAUGAGAUGGAUGAAUAUAUAUAUAACUAAGGUUGCUGUUUAGGUGCUUUUGAUCUUUGUAGGCUUUUUUAAGAGUGUCCAAAGCAUAACAGUCCAGUUUCACAGAUUGUCUCCAAUUUUUUAUCAUGUUCUUGAUCUGAAACAUGUCUUGAAAGUGUUAAGUUAAUUGAUGCUCUUGUUCUGCUGGUGUGUUCUAGAUGCACUUCUAAGUUUGGUGAUGUAAAUUUAGUUUCCAGAGAGUAGAUAUAACAGAGAGAUGAUAUUGGUUCACCAACCACAUUACAUGCUUUGAAAGUUUUUAACAGAAACAGAGUUUUUAUCUACUCUUAAGAGAUCCAAAGAGUAGAUAAAAGACCAGUGGAGAUGGUAUUGGUUCACCAACCAUUACACAUAACAGAAACAGAGCUUUUUGUUAUUUACAUACAAAAACCCUUUUAGACAAACACAAAAAACAAAACAUGUCUCCUUUUUCACUUAUCAACGACGUCCAUGUUCCUGUCCCAUGUACCCCGUACUUCCUUGCUCAUGUGUCCUCUCAGGAGGAUCACCAAUAACUAUGUUCGUCGUGGUCUUUGCAAUCUCAGCUAUAGUCUCGCCAAUAGCCCCAAGCACUCCUCCCGCUCCAGCCCCUUGUUCUUGGGCAUAUCUCUCGUUCCUUCUUCCUCCUCCUCCGUAUAACUCCUCCUCUCCAACGUCUCUGGAGACUCCUCCUCCUUGUGUUCCAUAUCCGAAGACAUCUUCCUCACUCGCUCUUCCUCUUCCGUACUCCUCCCUGACGUCUCUCCUCUCUUCUCCGGAGAAGCCUUUUGUUCCAUACCCAAAGACAUCUUCCUCACCUCUCCCUCUUUCUCCUCUGUACUCCUCUUCAAAGCCUCUUCUUGGCUCUUUGACAUAACCUUGUCCCUUCUCUUCCUCACCUCCCUCGAAACAAAACAAAAAAACAAAGUUGCUUGAGCCACACGUAACAACAUAAUGAUUACUAAACAAACCCAAAAACCACAAGAAACAACAUAGUAAUAGUACUAAACAAACCCAAAAACCAAAGUUCCUUGAGCCACACGAAACAACAUAGUGAUACUAAACAAACCCAAAAACAUAGUUCCUUGAGCCACACGUAACAACGUAAUGAUACUAAACAAACCCAAAAACAUAGUUCCUUGAGCCACACGUAACAACAUAAUGAUACUCAAAAUAGGUCUAGUUCAAGUUGUGUGAAGUACCUGGUGCGUCUCUUGGUCUCUGUGUUGAGCUUCCUCUUUCUUCCUAGCUGUGUAUCC
RNAcentral lists this long non-coding RNA (5146 nucleotides) under Brassica napus (rape). Its description in RNAcentral is "long non-coding RNA (BNAP_LNC003797)". The record is from RNAcentral. Lineage: Eukaryota; Viridiplantae; Streptophyta; Magnoliopsida; Brassicales; Brassicaceae.